Long non-coding RNA from Daphnia pulex (common water flea), 418 nucleotides. RefSeq lists it as uncharacterized. The transcript has 2 exons. The record is from RefSeq and is a predicted model, not a curated record. Lineage: Eukaryota; Metazoa; Arthropoda; Branchiopoda; Diplostraca; Daphniidae.
GUGAUUUAGCACGUAGAAACCAAGUUGCCAAAUCAUUCAACUCAGACUUGGAAGUGCCUGUACAUUUCCGAAAUGGCGUGCCUCGUGUGUCUCGCUGCCUGUUCUUAGACGUACGUCUCAUCCCAUGCAACAGCAAAAAGUAUAACAUACAAACACUUCUUUAACGCUGGUGGUGAUUACCUUGUUGCAGCCAAAUGGUGAAAGGUGUGACGAAGACAGAUUGAACCAUUGUAUGGAGCAUGCGGUUGCAGUUUAAUCCAGAAGUUGCUGUGCUGUUGUAGCUGAGCUGUUCCAUCUCCUGACUUCAAAAUUUUUGUGUUGUCGUUUAUGCCAUAUGAAUUGCUUUUUGUGUUGCUGAGUUAAAAGUUUGAUCUGUUGUCUUUUGAGUUUUCAUUCAAUUAUGCAGUAUACGAUUGAG